GAUGAACGCUGGCGGCGUGCCUAAUACAUGCAAGUCGAGCGAACGGACGAGAAGCUUGCUUCUCUGACGUUAGCGGCGGACGGGUGAGUAACACGUGGAUAACCUACCUAUAAGACUGGGAUAACUUCGGGAAACCGGAGCUAAUACCGGAUAAUAUUUUGAACCGCAUGGUUCAAAAGUGAAAGACGGUCUUGCUGUCACUUAUAGAUGGAUCCGCGCUGCAUUAGCUAGUUGGUAAGGUAACGGCUUACCAAGGCGACGAUGCGUAGCCGACCUGAGAGGGUGAUCGGCCACACUGGAACUGAGACACGGUCCAGACUCCUACGGGAGGCAGCAGUAGGGAAUCUUCCGCAAUGGGCGAAAGCCUGACGGAGCAACGCCGCGUGAGUGAUGAAGGUCUUCGGAUCGUAAAACUCUGUUAUUAGGGAAGAACAAAUGUGUAAGUAACUGUGCACAUCUUGACGGUACCUAAUCAGAAAGCCACGGCUAACUACGUG
Molecule: ribosomal RNA, 497 nt
Filed under: uncultured bacterium
Lineage: Bacteria
Description: partial 16S ribosomal RNA
Rfam family: Bacterial small subunit ribosomal RNA
Source: RNAcentral